RNAcentral lists this ribosomal RNA (600 nucleotides) under Rhodococcoides yunnanense. RNAcentral's name for it is "bacterial SSU rRNA". It matches the Rfam family "Bacterial small subunit ribosomal RNA", at positions 461 to 1061 of the family's 1533-position model. Lineage: Bacteria; Bacillati; Actinomycetota; Actinomycetes; Mycobacteriales; Nocardiaceae. The record is from RNAcentral.
AAGCGCAAGUGACGGUACCUGCAGAAGAAGCACCGGCUAACUACGUGCCAGCAGCCGCGGUAAUACGUAGGGUGCGAGCGUUGUCCGGAAUUACUGGGCGUAAAGAGUUCGUAGGCGGUUUGUCGCGUCGUUUGUGAAAACCCGGGGCUCAACUUCGGGCUUGCAGGCGAUACGGGCAGACUUGAGUGUUUCAGGGGAGACUGGAAUUCCUGGUGUAGCGGUGAAAUGCGCAGAUAUCAGGAGGAACACCGGUGGCGAAGGCGGGUCUCUGGGAAACAACUGACGCUGAGGAACGAAAGCGUGGGUAGCAAACAGGAUUAGAUACCCUGGUAGUCCACGCCGUAAACGGUGGGCGCUAGGUGUGGGUUCCUUCCACGGAAUCUGUGCCGUAGCUAACGCAUUAAGCGCCCCGCCUGGGGAGUACGGCCGCAAGGCUAAAACUCAAAGGAAUUGACGGGGGCCCGCACAAGCGGCGGAGCAUGUGGAUUAAUUCGAUGCAACGCGAAGAACCUUACCUGGGUUUGACAUACACCGGAAAGCCGUAGAGAUACGGCCCCCCUUGUGGUCGGUGUACAGGUGGUGCAUGGCUGUCGUCAGCUC